RNAcentral lists this ribosomal RNA (425 nucleotides) under uncultured Pseudoxanthomonas sp. RNAcentral describes it as "bacterial SSU rRNA". It matches the Rfam family "Bacterial small subunit ribosomal RNA", at positions 354 to 771 of the family's 1533-position model. Lineage: Bacteria; Pseudomonadati; Pseudomonadota; Gammaproteobacteria; Lysobacterales; Lysobacteraceae. The record is from RNAcentral.
GUGGGGAAUAUUGGACAAUGGGCGCAAGCCUGAUCCAGCCAUACCGCGUGGGUGAAGAAGGCCUUCGGGUUGUAAAGCCCUUUUGUUGGGAAAGAAAUCCAGCCGGUUAAUACCUGGUUGGGAUGACGGUACCCAAAGAAUAAGCACCGGCUAACUUCGUGCCAGCAGCCGCGGUAAUACGAAGGGUGCAAGCGUUACUCGGAAUUACUGGGCGUAAAGCGUGCGUAGGUGGUUGUUUAAGUCCGUUGUGAAAGCCCUGGGCUCAACCUGGGAAUUGCAGUGGAUACUGGGCAACUAGAGUGUGAUAGAGGGUGGCGGAAUUCCCGGUGUAGCAGUGAAAUGCGUAGAUAUCGGGAGGAACAUCCGUGGCGAAGGCGGCCACCUGGGUCAACACUGACACUGAGGCACGAAAGCGUGGGGAGCAA